Long non-coding RNA from Sebastes umbrosus (honeycomb rockfish), 517 nucleotides. RefSeq lists it as uncharacterized. Lineage: Eukaryota; Metazoa; Chordata; Actinopteri; Perciformes; Sebastidae. The transcript has 2 exons. The record is from RefSeq and is a predicted model, not a curated record.
GGCGUGGCAUGGAGGCAAUCAGCCUGUGGCAUUGCUGAGGUGUUAUGGAUGCCCAUGAUGCUUCAAUAGCGGCCUUUAGCUCAUUUGCAUUGUUGGGUCUGGUGUCUUUCAGCUUCCUCUUCACAAUACCCCACAAAUUCUCUAUGGGGUUCAGGUCAGGGGAAUUGGCAGGCCAAUCGAGGACAGUAAUGCCAUGGGCAGUACACCAGUUACUGGUGGUUCUGGCACUGUGGGCAGGUGCCAGAUCAUGCUGGAAAAUGAAAUCCUCAUCUCCAUAGAGCUUUUCAGCAGACGGAAGCAUGUAGUGCUCUAAAAUCUCUUGGUACACAGCUGCAUUUACUCUGGACUUGAUGAAACACAGUGGACCAACACCAGCAGCUGACAUGGCUCCCCAAACCAUCACUGACUGUGGGAACUUCACACUGGAUUUCAAGCAACUUGGAUUUUGCUCCUCUCCAGCCUUUCUCCAGACUCUGGCGCCUUGACUUCCAAAUGAAAUACAACACUUGCUUUCGUC